Molecule: long non-coding RNA, 3589 nt
Filed under: Homo sapiens (human)
Lineage: Eukaryota; Metazoa; Chordata; Mammalia; Primates; Hominidae
Description: HSALNT0146193
Source: RNAcentral
CGCGUAGGACAAGGCAGGAGGAGGGCGGCCCUUAUCGGUUCCCUAUAGGACUGGCUUCGCUGCCGGGGUCGGAGAUUCCUCGGCGCGGAGCUAGGGGCGGGUCCGGAGGCGGAGGCGACAGCGCCCGGCGGGGUACGCGCGGCUGCGACCCCGUCACUCCCCCGCCGCCUCCGCCCCUAACCCUCGGCCCCGUGCGCGAGCGAGCGAGGGAGCGAACGCAGCGCAACAAAACAAACUAGUGCCGGCUUCCUGUUGUGCAACUCGCUCCUGAGUGAGUCGGGGGCCGAAAGGGUGCUGCGGCUGGGAAGCCCGGGCGCCGGGGACCUGCGCGCGCUGCCCGGCCUGGCCGGAGCCUGUAGCCCGGGGGCGCCACGGCCGGGCUCGCAGUCCCCCCACGCCGGCCCCCCGGUCCCCGCCGAGCCAGUGUCCUCACCCUGUGGUUUCCUUUCGCUUCUCGCCUCCCAAACACCUCCAGCAAGUCGGAGGGCGCGAACGCGGAGCCAGAAACCCUUCCCCAAAGUUUCUCCCGCCAGGUACCUAAUUGAAUCAUCCAUAGGAUGACAAAUCAGCCAGGGCCAAGAUUUCCAGACACUUGAGUGACUUCCCGGUCCCCGAGGUGACUUGUCAGCUCCAGUGAGUAACUUGGAACUGUCGCUCGGGGCAAGGUGUGUGUCUAGGAGAGAGCCGGCGGCUCACUCACGCUUUCCAGAGAGCGACCCGGGCCGACUUCAAAAUACACACAGGGUCAUUUAUAGGGACUGGAGCCGCGCGCAGGACAACGUCUCCGAGACUGAGACAUUUUCCAAACAGUGCUGACAUUUUGUCGGGCCCCAUAAAAAAUGUAAACGCGAGGUGACGAACCCGGCGGGGAGGGUUCGUGUCUGGCUGUGUCUGCGUCCUGGCGGCGUGGGAGGUUAUAGUUCCAGACCUGGCGGCUGCGGAUCGCCGGGCCGGUACCCGCGAGGAGUGUAGGUACCCUCAGCCCGACCACCUCCCGCAAUCAUGGGGACACCGGCUUGGAUGAGACACAGGCGUGGAAAACAGCCUUCGUGAAACUCCACAAACACGUGGAACUUGAAAAGACAACUACAGCCCCGCGUGUGCGCGAGAGACCUCACGUCACCCCAUCAGUUCCCACUUCGCCAAAGUUUCCCUUCAGUGGGGACUCCAGAGUGGUGCGCCCCAUGCCCGUGCGUCCUGUAACGUGCCCUGAUUGUGUACCCCUCUGCCCGCUCUACUUGAAAUGAAAACACAAAAACUGUUCCGAAUUAGCGCAACUUUAAAGCCCCGUUAUCUGUCUUCUACACUGGGCGCUCUUAGGCCACUGACAGAAACAUGGUUUGAACCCUAAUUGUUGCUAUCAGUCUCAGUCAGCGCAGGUCUCUCAGUGACCUGUGACGCCGGGAGUUGAGGUGCGCGUAUCCUUAAACCCGCGCGAACGCCACCGGCUCAGCGUAGAAAACUAUUUGUAAUCCCUAGUUUGCGUCUCUGAGCUUUAACUCCCCCACACUCUCAAGCGCCCGGUUUCUCCUCGUCUCUCGCCUGCGAGCAAAGUUCCUAUGGCAUCCACUUACCAGGCAGGUGGUAUGUUGGAAGAAGAGUGGACUUUGGAAUCAGAAAACCUGGAAUCCCAACUUCACCGCUAACCGAGAGACCUUGAGCUGGUUCCUAAACCACGGGGAACUUCAGUUCCACUACAUGAGUUAUUGCAAAGGUUGAAUCGGAAUUGUGACACUGGCCAGCACACGUGUGAAACCAGGGGCAUCCCCUAUUGAUAAGGAGCCCAGCCCAAGAGCUUCAAGGGAAAUUGACCCCAGCCCCAGCUCCACUGAUGGGCUCGAUGAUUCAGAGAGGAAUCUCACUCCCUUGGUCAAAGUGAAUGGCUCAUAAAUCUGGGCCUAAGUCAAUCCGUGCAAGACAUUCCCCUGGCCAUAGGGAUUGGUUAAAAAAUGGACAUGUAACCCAGUUUGGGCUAAAUGAGAUGUGAACAGGAAAGUUAUUUGAUAGCUUCUGAGGAAGGUAGCUUCUCUUCUUUCUAGAGAGCCACUGGAAAGGUAGCCUUUUCUCCUCUGUGUUGUGGAGAGAAAAAAAAAGUGAAACUGUCUCCCUCUCAGCCCACACAGAAGGCUCACACUUGGUGAAGGGAAGGGUGGAGAAGAUUACAGAGAAUAGCCCUGAUGGAACCACACCUGAUUUCUACCUGACCUCUUAAUUUUUUCAUUUGUACAAGUCAGUAAAUGCCUUUUAAUUUUUAAACAAAUAAUUACAGCAACUUAUAGAGGUACCUAAGGUAUUAAGUUACCAUCAUGAAUACAAAGAUAAGCAAGACAAACUUCAAGGGGCUCACCACCUAAUAAAUAUUAUACUUUGCUUUUAUGACAUCAUUUUAGUCUUUUUUGUUGUUUUUUGUUUUUGUUUCUAAAUAGGAUCUUGCUUUAUCACCCAAACUGUAAUGCAGUGGUGUGAUCAUAGCUCACUACAGCCCCGACCUCCUGGGCUCAAGUGAUCCUCUUGCCUCAGCCUCCUAAGGAGCUGGGACUACAGGUGCGUGCCCAGCUAAUUUCUUUUAUUUUUGUAGAGGCAGGGGGGUCUCGCUAUGUUGCCCAGGCUGUGGGUUUUUCAGGGUAAAGUUAUGGCUCAUUCUCUCUUCAGGACCCUGCUACCAUUUGGUCAAUUUAAUAUUAUGCAAGAGAAAUUCCAUUUCCCUAGUAGUUACACAAUGCCCGCUUUCAGACCAGCUAGUCAACCCUGUGAGGGUCAGAUAGAGUAGUUUAUCCAUUUGGUUGUCAGACAACUGCCUCGAACAGCCAGGCCAUUUCUACAUGUUCUCAGUUACUGGUUAACAAAUGUUGCCCCAGAAUUCAGCACCUAAUAGGAAAUACAUUCAUUUCCAAAUUCCUACUGAAAUAGGAUUUUUCUCAUUCCUAGAUAAAACAGAGGCACCCAGAUUUUCCUGGAAUGGCAUUCAGAAAUAGAGAAGGAAUCAUAGAGAAAUGUCUGCCCAGGCAUCUCUGAGUCUCAUGCCUUUUUGCUGUUGCUGCUGUUAUGACUCCUACCUUGGAAAGUUUCAGUCAUCCUUGAACAUCCUCCCCACCCCCAUGCUUUCCUGUCUUCUGUUUCAUAACUAAAUGCCAUUUAAAACUCUAGCUAUAGAUACCCCUUGCUGAUAUAAGCAACAGAAGUAGAGAGUCCUUAGAUUCUAGACUGAAUUUAGGGCCCAACAGUUAGACAAUUGGAACUUGAUAAUAACGUUAUCUCAGCAGAUUGCGUAAGUCAGAAAUGUUCUCCCUGUCACUGCUUUCUUUUUCCUUCCAGCAAGAAGUGGACAUUAAGGAGAAAGUGAAGGUGGCAAGUUAUGAGUGAUCUGUUUAAGACACAGUUUAGUUAUGGCAAUGAUAACAACUCACAUUUAUUAGGGGCUUAUUAUGUAUCAGGCUGAGCAAAGUACGUAAGAUUCUUGAUCUCAUUUAAUUCUCACAGUGUAGAGGCUAAUGAGUGGUGGAGGUGAGAGGAGGACGCAGCCUCCCUUGGCUCCAGGGCACACACUCUUAGCUGUAACACUCUAUUGCCUCCAUAAAGUAUGCUUAAU